RNAcentral lists this long non-coding RNA (6525 nucleotides) under Manihot esculenta (cassava). RNAcentral's name for it is "long non-coding RNA (MESC_LNC006365)". Lineage: Eukaryota; Viridiplantae; Streptophyta; Magnoliopsida; Malpighiales; Euphorbiaceae. The record is from RNAcentral.
GGGUUUCUUAUUUAUUCUCAUUGUUAUAUUGAUCUAUAUUUAGUCUGAAUUAUGUGGCAGUUGUUAAGUUUUAGGCUUUUAUAUUAUGCUACAACUUAGUGCAUAACACGGUAUCACAUUUACUUUAUGAAGAGCUCAAAAUCGCAGAAUACAUUGUGAAUACAGACGUUGUCUGCAGAUGAAAUUCCAUAUUCUUCAUACGUUAACAAUCAUUUUACAGGGUUCUGGUGGCGUCACUGUGAAGAAAACGAACCAAGCUCUCAUUUUUGGUAUUUAUGAUGAACCAAUGACUCCAGGACAGUGCAACAUGGUUGUAGAGAGGCUGGGUGAUUACCUCCUUGAUCAAGGCCUGUAGGCUCUUAAUUCUUCGACUUAGCUUCAUGGUUGUCAAAUGCUGAUUUCUGGUUUGGGCUUGCAGCUGGCCAUGAACUGACAUUAAUGAUUUUGCUGGGAAAUAACGUUGUGAGGACAAAACAGUGGUUUUUUUCCCCUACUUUUAUUGUUGAUUGUGUAGGUCCAUUGCCUUUUUCUUUUCAACUCCAGCUAUGCUUUCUUAAUUUAUGUGUAUUCAUGCUCCGGUCUCUUAAUUAAGUUUGCGUAUUUCAAGUUUGAACGUUUUGGAUUUAUUUUAUAAUACAUAAUACAAAGAUUUUCUAUACGGGAUUUGAUACUCGUGCAUUUUUUGGUUUUCUUUGAGUACAUUUACGUCCCCUUCUUUAAAGGUUUCUCUACAAAGCUUGGUGGUGAGAAAAUGCGUAUUCUGAUAACAGCCAAAGCGAACAGUCCAUGCUGUUCUUGAUGCAUCAUAACAAGCCAGCAAGUUUCCAUUUGCUAUGAUUUCUACCAUUUUCUGUUGAUGCAAAUCAUACUUGCUUGAACGUGGAAAAGAAAGAUGAUGUCUAUGUGUUCAUGGGAAUUAGAUACAUCAAAAAACGUGGAAAAGUUCUAUUUUAUUUUUGAAAAAUCCAUAUCUGAUCCUUAAUCUUGGGAAUUAGAUACAUCAAAAAACGAUAAAAGUCCACAUUCAGAGAUUCUGUGCAGAGGAGAUGCAAAUUUUGCAAUUCUUGAUUUCAAAUCCAAGCUCAGAAUUGAACAUAACAAGGAAAAAAAAAAAAAAAAAAGCUUUCAUUUCAUUUUCUAAGUAAUUUACACAGACCAAACUUUGAUCAAUCCUAGCUAUUAACUGCCAACCUUAGUUGAGAAGAGAAGCUUAGGAUGUCUUUGUUUAACAGAACCCAUCAAAUAUCUAAACCUUCAACGGCUUGGGAACAUGAUCAGUGCAUUCUGACACUGCUUAUGCUAUUCCUAGCAGCCAUUAUUUCGUUGAGCGAAAGCUUCUUCUUUGGCCCUGGCUCCGCCCGCUGCUUUGGAGCACUGUGAGACCUCAAUUUGGCCUUGGAAGGAUUUUGUGUUGGACAUAUAAUUAGGGAAGUUUGAGUGAGGCCUGAAGAAACUGCCUCCACAAACACUCUUGGCUGGCGUUGCAGGGGCAUUCGACCUGACAGAGUUUGCAAAAUCUUGAUGAUUUUUGUAAUAUGGUAUGGAGAUUCGAGCUGGAAUUGGACAUGGAAGAGGUGAUGAGUAAGGUACUCCGUCGUCAUAUUCUGAUAAUGCUGCAGCGGCUCUACGAGAUCUUGAUCUGGGUUUGAUUUCAACUAUUUUUGGGCUUUCAUCAAAUUCAUAAGAUGCAAACAGCCUCUCACUGUGGAAUUCACUUUUUGUAUCAUCAAAUUUUUCCUGAAAAUGUUAAAAAAAGAAACCAAGUGAACCCAUUUCUUCAAUAAAAAGAUUGGACUUCAUACAAGUUUGCAAAACAGGAUCUUACAAUUGAUUUUCGUGGUCGGUUUUCAGGUUGAAAUCUAUUCUCCUUGUUUAUAGAACGACGAGCACGUUGGGAUCGAACAGAAGUUUGAGCUCUUAUAAGAGCUUGCAUACUGUGAAGAGUUGCAGCAGCCUGCUUUCGGACCAGAUAGCCUCUAACAAGUGCCUGCAUCUUCACCAAUCCUUUCAAUGCUCGAAGAGCUUUUCGAGCCUGCGAUUAACCAAAUAAACCCAUUAAGAAUAUUAAAGAGUCAAUUUACAGAACACCUUACAAACACAGCUUUCUCAUGGAGCAGUUCAUAGAGCAGAUGAAAAAGAAAAGACGAGUUGAAGUAGGACUUAGCAAUCAUCCCAAAACAGAGGGGACCAAAGAAAAAACAUUUGAAUCAGUGUUUCCAGCUUUUGAGAGAGUAAGAUUUAAGAAAAGUAACUAAAGCUAAAAGCUAAAUUUACUUUUCUCAGAAAAAAUGUAGUACUGACACUGUUUCAUUAAUUACCCUUGGUGUGUGUUUCCAGCUUUCACGAGUAGACAUAAAAGCAAUUUAUACAAUUUCCUCCACAAUGUUAUAAACAUUUUGUUACAAGGAAGAAAAAAAAACACACAAUUGUAAUAAAGCAGAGCAGAAACUGCAAAAAUCUAAAAAUACCCAGAUGAGAGUAUCAACUUUUGAACUUGAUCUGAAUCAUACCCAUGAAAAAAGAAAAUUAAAAAAAGCUGAAAAUUACUCUGUCAAAACCACCCACUUAUCAGUAAGAAAAUUUUUUAAAUAAAGCCCUACUUUUGCUUACCAAAAAGCCUCUGAAAACGGUUUGAACUUUGAUUGCAGCCCACUUCUCUGUCUCGCUACCAUACGUUGUCCCUCUGCCAUUGCUGGUCAGCCUCACUACCGCCAUCGCGGCCUGUGCUGCAGCCACUGCAUCGUCGGCCGCUGCAGCCGUCGCAGAUGCCACAGCUAUUGCGUGUUUGUUCUGAUCUCUUUCAGUCUCAGCAAUGUAGGAUCUGAGCCAGGCAGCAUCUUUCACCUGAAGGUUAUAACGAGGGAUCACACUGUUAUCCCUUCCUGAUUUGCCAAAACUCCAUCUUGUUUUCGCUCUCUUUUCGCUUGAAAUUGAACUUGAACUGUCACCACCAUUAUCUCUUCCUUUAUCUUUCUUCAUCCCCAACAAGCCUUUUAGCCACCUUGUAGCUUUACCCAUCUUGUCUAGAUCUCUCUCUCGUUCACUACAACUUGGAUAAUCUUAGAAAGACAAACAAUGCAUUAGAGCCCAGAAUGUGAAGCACUGAAUAAAUUAACAAUUAAACUAGAAAUUGAAGUAGCAUGAGAAAAAGUAAAAACCAAGCAAUUAAAUAAAUAAAUUAUCCAAUUCAAAAAACUAAAACAGCGCCGGAUUUUAUCUUUCUCCCUCUCUGCUAUUCCUUUAAAUCAAGCCGAAAUUAGCUGCACGAAUCGUGGAUUCUGAUUUAAAGCCUCGGAAGAAAUCGUCUAAUGUGCUUUUUGUAACCUGAUUUGAGAAGGAUUCAUUUACUGAGCCAUUAAUUCGGAUUAUUUCCCAUUUGAUUCAGAAUUUGGUAACGGCAAAUAAAAUUUGAUUUAAAUAGCUUGAAUUAAGGCGAGAAUGUUUGGUUUAUUGGUUUUUGUCUGGUAAUUGCUUUAUAUGGAAUUGUUACCCGCCAUUGGCUGAUUCAUAUGUUGGCUUUUCCAGUUUAAGCCAGCAGAGGUUGCGGCCAUCAUGAAAGAUUUUGAUGAACCUGGAUCCCUUGCACCAACAGGUUUGCACCUUGGUGGCACAAAGUACAUGGUGAUCCAAGAAGAGGCUGGAGCUGUGAUUGGCGGGCGUUUUACAAAAUUAGGAUCGGGCGAAUAUAAUUUUGAUAAUUUACGGUCGGCUAAAAUUUAUUUACCGAUUUGGAGUUCGCCUACCACGUGGCAGGUGAAAAGAGGACUUGGCGCUUUUUUGACAGACGCCAGACCUGGCCGCUUCUCAAAGAGGCGUCUGGCACGUGAGAAGCUUGUUUUCUUCUUUUUUUUUAAUUUUUUUAUUUUUAAUUAUUAAUAUAUUAUAAUUAAAUAUUUAUAUUAUAUUAAUUUAAUAAUUAAAUAUAUAUAAGAGUAUUAAAUUAAAUAAUUAAUAAAAAAAUUAAUUAAUUAAUUAAUAUGAAAAUUUAAAAUUAUAAAAAUUAAAUUUAUUUGUUAUUGUAUUUUUAUUUAAAAUUAUAAAAUAAAAUUAUACUGUAAUUUAAAUAAUUAAUAAAAAAUAAAUAAAUAAACUAAUUAAUAUGAAUAUUUAAAAUUAUAAAAAUUAAAUUUACUUUUUAUUAAAUUGUUAUUUAGAAUUAUAGAAUAAAAUUAUGUUGUGAUUAAAUAUUAUAUGUGAUCACCUAAUUAUUUAUAAUUUAUCAAAAAUAAUAAAUUUAAUUAAAUAUUUUAAUAGCAAAAUAAUAUAAUAAUUUUAAAUAUUUUAUAUAAAUUGUUUAUAAUUUAUUAAAAAAAUAAAUAAAUUAAGUAAUUAAUUCAAUUAAAUAAUUUUGUAUAAAUUUAAUAGCAGAUUAAUAUUAUAAUUCUAAAUAUUUUUAUGUGCAUUUCUUUAUUAUUAAGUUUUAUAAUAUUUUUAUAUAUUAAAAAUAUUUUUAUAAAAUAUAAUAACUGAUGACCGCUGGAUUUCUUCACCCCAGAACAGGGGCGUGACCGCAGCCAAAGGCCCAUGAUACAGAGGCCCACGCACUUGAUACCCCCCAACAAGCCUGGCUCAUUCCAGCUUCCGGGCCGGGCUCGACCAAGCUUCCUCACUCAGUCCAGUCUGAUCCCUGACCAGCAGACCCCUCUCAGGCCCAGCGUCCAGCCCAACUCUCGGCCCAGCCCGGGGUCCAGAACAGUACUCACCAGACAGCCUGGCAGAUCCGCUCGAACGUACGCAUGAGGAGAAUCAGAGGCCGUUACGCAUGUAACAGGCAGCUGAUACCCUAGUACACCCGAAUCUGUAUGGCAGAGACGCGUGGCCCAAUCCUGGAGAGACCUUUACACGUCACCAGCAAGCAAGACAAUGUAUAAAAGAGGAGUCCCCUCCUCAGAAUGUUUUAAGCUUUAUUAUUCAAUACAAAAACCCUAUUCUAUUGGAUCUCAGAUCAUCAAUAACUAUUUAUAACUGAUUUUAGUACUUUGCAGAGUUAUAAAAUAAUAUUAAAUGUGUACGAAAUUACCGGUACUAUUUAAUUACAGAAUUACUGUAUUAAUCUAUUAAAAUAAUAAAAAAUUUUAUUAUUGGAUAAAUGUAUAUUAUAAAAAAUUUAAUAAAGUGAUCUUGUAUACGAUAAUAUUAUAUUAUAAAUAUUAUUUAUGUGCAGUCUUUUAUUAUUAAACUCUUAUAUAUUAAAAAUAUUUUUAUAAAAUAUAAUAACUAUUUUUAAUUUGCCUUGAUACUUUAGAGAGUUAUUAAAUAAUAUUAUUAUGUGAUUAAAUGUAUAUAAGAUUACUCAUACUAUUUAAUCAUAGUAUUAAUACAUUAAUUUAUUAAAAUAAUAAAAAAAUUUAUCACUAUAUAAAUAUAUAUUAUACGAUAAAUUAUUUUUAUACUUUCAAUCACAAUCGAAUUAUUUUUAUACAUCUAAUUACAAUAAAAUUAAACUUUAAAAUUAUAUAAUAUCAGUAAUUUUUUAUUUAAAAAUUAAUAAUAAAAUCUAUUAAAUAUUACAACAUUAAAAUUAUUAAAAAAAAUUAUUAUUAUAAAAAUAUAAUAUUUUUAAAUUAAUAUAAUAUAAAUAUUUAAUUAUAAUAUAUUAAUAAUUAAAAAUAAAAAACUAAAUUGUGGCCUGGAGUGGCGCCAGGCCACAAUGUAAAAAAACAAAAAAACAAAUCUCGUGGCGCCUCUUUGAAAGGCGGUCGGGCUUGGCGCUAGGUCCUCUUUUCGCCUGCCAAGUGACAGGCGAACCCCAAAUCGGUAAAUAAGUUUUAGCCGACUCCAAAUCGGCAAAAUUAUAUUCACCCGACCCUAAUUUUGCAAAAAACCCGUGAUUCGCGGAAAGAAGGUGUUUAAUUGUUUCGAUAAUUGGGUUUCUUAUUUAUUCUCAUUGUUAUAUUGAUCUAUAUUUAGUCUGAAUUAUGUGGCAGUUGUUAAAUUUUAGGCUUUUAUAUUAUGCUACAAUUUAGUGCAUAACACGAUAUCACAUUUACUUUAUGAAGAGCUCAAAAUCGCAGAAUACAUUGUGAAUACAGACGUUGUCUGCAGAUGAAAUUCCAUAUUCUUCAUACGUUAACAAUCAUUUUACAGGGUUCCGGUGGCGUCACUGUGAAGAAAACGAACCAAGCUCUCAUUUUUGGUAUUUAUGAUGAACCAAUGACAGCAGGACAGUGCAACAUGGUUGUAGAGAGGCUGGGUGAUUACCUCCUUGAUCAAGGCCUGUAGGCUCUUAAUUCUUCGACUUAGCUUCAUGGUUGUCAAAUGCUGAUUUCUGGUUUGGGCUUGCAGCUGGCCAUGAACUGGCAUUAAUGAUUUUGCUGGGAAAUAACGUUGUGAGGACAAAACAGUGAUUUUUUCCCCCUACUUUUGUUGUUGAUUGUGUAGGUCCAUUGCCUUUUUCUUUUCAACUCCAGCUAUGCUUUCUUAAUUUAUGUGUAUUCAUGCUCCGGUCUAUUAAUUAAGUUUGCGUAUUUCAAGUUUGAACGUUUUGGAUUUAUUUUAUAAUACAUAAUACAAAGAUUUUCUAUA